Molecule: ribosomal RNA, 607 nt
Filed under: uncultured bacterium
Lineage: Bacteria
Description: bacterial SSU rRNA
Rfam family: Bacterial small subunit ribosomal RNA (bases 1-517)
Source: RNAcentral
CCUACGGGAGGCAGCAGUGGGGAAUCUUGCGCAAUGGGCGAAAGCCUGACGCAGCCAUGCCGCGUGUAUGAUGAAGGUCUUAGGAUUGUAAAAUACUUUCACCGGUGAAGAUAAUGACUGUAGCCGGAGAAGAAGCCCCGGCUAACUUCGUGCCAGCAGCCGCGGUAAUACGAAGGGGGCUAGCGUUGCUCGGAAUUACUGGGCGUAAAGGGAGCGUAGGCGGACAUUUAAGUCAGAGGUGAAAUCCCGGAGCUUAACUUCGGAACUGCCUUUGAUACUGGGUGUCUUGAGUGUGAGAGAGGUAUGUGGAACUCCGAGUGUAGAGGUGAAAUUCGUAGAUAUUCGGAAGAACACCAGUGGCGAAGGCGACAUACUGGCUCAUUACUGACGCUGAGGCUCGAAAGCGUGGGGAGCAAACAGGAUUAGAUACCCUGGUAGUCCACGCCGUAAACGAUGAUUGCUAGUUGUCGGGAAGCUUGCUUCUCGGUGACGCNGCUACGACAUAGUACACUCCGCCGUCGGGAGGUACGGUCGCGAGAAGUUAAACGUUAAAGUAAAGUUAGUUAGGUACGUUGAGAGUUGCGACGGACGACGACGAGGGAGGAGG